RNAcentral lists this ribosomal RNA (480 nucleotides) under uncultured bacterium. Its description in RNAcentral is "bacterial SSU rRNA". It matches the Rfam family "Bacterial small subunit ribosomal RNA", at positions 15 to 507 of the family's 1533-position model. The record is from RNAcentral.
GAUCAUGGCUCAGGAUGAACGCUAGCGACAGGCCUAACACAUGCAAGUCGAGGGGCAGCACGAAUCAAGCUUGCUUGAUUUGGUGGCGACCGGCGCACGGGUGCGUAACAGGUGUGCAAUCUGUCCCAUAAUCGGGGAAUAGCCCAGCGAAAGUUGGAUUAAUGCUCCAUGGUGAGUAAGAGAGGCAUCUCUUUAUUGAAACGCAAGGAUUAUGGGUGAGCACGCUUCUGAUUAGGUAGUUGGUGGGGUAACGGCCUACCAAGCCGACGAUCGGUAGCCGGACUGAGAGGUUGAACGGCCACAUUGGGACUGAGACACGGCCCAGACUCCUACGGGAGGCAGCAGUGGGGAAUAUUGCACAAUGGGGGAAACCCUGAUGCAGCGACGCCGCGUGAGCGAAGAAGAUCUUCGGAUUGUAAAGCUCUGUCUUAGGGGACGAUAAUGACGGUACCCUGAGAGGAAGCCACGGCUAACUACGUG